CCUCCAUUCGGGCACAUCCGAUAAAAUUGAAAAGAUACAGAGAAGAUUAGCAUGACCCCUGUAGAAGGAUGACGCACACAAAUCGAGAAACGAUCUAAUUAAUU
This is a small nuclear RNA of Lactuca sativa (garden lettuce), 104 nucleotides long. The record is from RefSeq and is a predicted model, not a curated record. Lineage: Eukaryota; Viridiplantae; Streptophyta; Magnoliopsida; Asterales; Asteraceae.